AUCGGCGUGGUUAGCAGAACGAGCUGGAAAGCUCAGCCGGAGACUGUGAUAGCCAGGUAUGCGAAAACGACGCUGACCUUAUUCUGUAUUCUCGAGUAGGUCGGGGCACGAGAAACCCUGAUUGAAUCCGGCUGGACCACCAGCCAAGGCUAAAUAUAGUAUAUGAUCGAUAGUGAACUAGUACGGUGACGGAAAGGUGAAAAGAACCCCGGGAGGGGAGUGAAAUAGAACCUGAAAUUUUGUGCCUACAAGGAGUCGGAGCCCAGCACCUUUGAAAUCGAGUGGUACAAUGUAGACAGAUGUUCUACGUGUACGUUUUGCAAAGUGAUCGGGAAUCAGAUCAAAUUUACUUCGGUCAGACUAGUGACUUAAGACGACGUCUCUCGGAGCAUAAUUCUGGCAAGGAUACUUAUACCAAGAUAUAUGCGCCAUGGAAGGUUGUCUAUUAUGAAGCCUAUUCAUCACGUAAGCUAGCAAUGGCCCGUGAGAGGCAGUUGAAAGCUUAUGGACAAGCCAGGACUGCUCUAAAGAAGAGACUAAAUUUGAUCUGAUACUCGAUUUCAAAGGUGCUGGGUGACGGCGUGCUUUUUGUAGAACGAUCCAGCGAGUUAAUUUUUACGGCGAGGUUAAGUCAGAUGAUGAAGCCAUAGUGAAAGCGAGCAUUAACAGUGCGAUUUAGUCGUAAGGAUUAGACCCGAAACCAGGUGACCUAACCAUGAGCAGGUUGAAGCAACCUUAAUCGGUUGUGGAGGACCGAACCAGUGUAUAUUGCAAAAUGCUUGGAUGACUUGUGGUUAGCGGUGAAAUGCCAAUCGAACUUGGAGAUAGCUGGUUCUCCGCGAAAUAGUUAUAGGACUAGCGUCGUGUGAUAGCUUACGGGGGUAGAGCUCUGUCAAGAGAUAGGGGGAGCAAUCCUACCUACUCUUAAUAAACUACGAAUACCGUAUGUCUGUAUCACGGCAGUUAGAACGUCGGUGCUAAGAUCGGCGCUCAAAAGGGAAACAGCCCAGACCAUCAUCUAAGGUCCCCAAAUUUACGCUAAGUGGGAAACAAGGUGGAAUUUCUUAAACAGCUAGGAUGUUGGCUUAGAAGCAGCCAUUCAUUUAAAGAGUGCGUAACAGCUCACUAGUCAAGAGAUUUUGCGUGGAAAAUGUAACGGGGCUAAAGUGUUAAACCGAAGACAUGGACUUCUGCCUAUGCAGGAGUGGUAGAGGAGCGUUGAUAUCGCAGUGAAGUCAGAUUGGAAAGUCUGGUGGAGCGUUAUCAAGUGAGAAUGCUGGAAUUAGUAACCUUAAGACAGGUGAGAAUCCUGUCGGUCGUAAGAGCAAGGUUUCCAGGGCUACAGUAAUUGCCCCUGGGUUAGUCGGUCCUAAGCCGAGGCGUAUCAGCGUAGGCGAUGGACAACAGGUUAAUAUUCCUGUACAGGUAGUAGUUGUGAACAGUUCACGGUGAAUGACUGGAGCGGAUUAAUGGUUUAUCCGUCCAAGUCUUUAGGGAACUAAAGAUGAGUGAAAGGUAAUCUUCGGAUUAUUGAUUCUGGGUGAAGCACUGGCUAGAAAAGCUGGUUCACUUAUGCUGCUGCCUACCGUACCGCAAACCAACACCGGUGCUCGGGUCGAGUAGACCAAGACCUACGUGAGAACCUUCGCUAAGGAACUCGGCAAAAAAGCGUCCGUAACUUCGGAAUAAGGACUGCCCUCUCAUUAAGAUGAGGAUUUGCUAGAAACUCAGCAGAAGAUUCAGAUUACCUUUUAACUGAAUUUUUCGUUGAGACAGAACACAAAACAGGAUUUGUUUAACAAAUUCGUGUCUUUCCUAGUAGUCUAAUCGUCAUUUUGAUGAGAGGGCCGCAGCUAAAGAGCCCACGGAACUGUUUACCAAAAACAUAGGUCUCUGCUAACGCGAAAGCGGAUGUAUAGGGGCUGACUCCUGCCCGGUGUCGGAAGGUUAAGGGGAGAGCUUUACGGUUCGAACUGAAGCCCCGAUGAACGGCGGCGAUAACUAUGAUCGUCCUAAGGUAGCGAAAUUCCUUGUCUGGUAAGUUCAGACCCGCACGAAUGGAGUAAUCAUGUGGGCACUGUCUCGGCGAAGGCCACGGUGAACGUGCAUUGGCGGUAAAGAUGCCGUCUGAUCAUGCCAGGACGAGAAGACCCCAUGGAGCUUUACUACAACUUUGCAUUGAUUAUUGGGACAUUUUGUGUAGAAUAGGUGGAAGACUUUGAAGCAGAUACGCUAGUAUUUGUGGAGUCGAAAUGUGAAAUACCACCCUGAAUGUUUUAGUAAUCUCACUUUUGACCUGAUCGGCCAAAAGGACCGUGCAUGGCGGGUAGUUUAACUGGGGCGGUUGCCUCCUAAAGAGUAGCGGAGGCGUUCAAAGGU
RNAcentral lists this ribosomal RNA (2379 nucleotides) under human oral metagenome. RNAcentral's name for it is "bacterial LSU rRNA". It matches the Rfam family "Bacterial large subunit ribosomal RNA", at positions 319 to 2317 of the family's 2925-position model. The record is from RNAcentral.